RNAcentral lists this ribosomal RNA (497 nucleotides) under uncultured bacterium. Its description in RNAcentral is "partial 16S ribosomal RNA". It matches the Rfam family "Bacterial small subunit ribosomal RNA", at positions 28 to 507 of the family's 1533-position model. The record is from RNAcentral.
GAUGAACGCUGGCGGCGUGCCUAAUACAUGCAAGUCGAGCGAACGGACGAGAAGCUUGCUUCUCUGAUGUUAGCGGCGGACGGGUGAGUAACACGUGGAUAACCUACCUAUAAGACUGGGAUAACUUCGGGAAACCGUAGCUAAUACCGGAUAAUAUUUUGAACCGCAUGGUUCAAAAGUGAAAGACGGUCUUGCUGUCACUUAUAGAUGGAACCGCGCUGCAUUAGCUAGUUGGUAAGGUAACGGCUUACCAAGGCAACGAUGCAUAGCCGACCUGAGAGGGUGAUCGGCCACACUGGAACUGAGACACGGUCCAGACUCCUACGGGAGGCAGCAGUAGGGAAUCUUCCGCAAAGGGCGAAAGCCUGACGGAGCAACGCCGCGUGAGUGAUGAAGGUCUUCGGAUCGUAAAACUCUGUUAUUAGGGAAGAACAUAUGUGUAAGUAACUGUGCACAUCUUGACGGUACCUAAUCAGAAAGCCACGGCUAACUACGUG